CCUACGGGUGGCAGCAGUGGGGAAUAUUGCACAAUGGGGGAAACCCUGAUGCAGCGACGCCGCGUGGGCGAAGAAGUAUUUCGGUAUGUAAAGCCCUAUCAGCCGGGAAGAAGAAAUUACGGUACCUGACUAAGAAGCACCGGCUAAAUACGUGCCAGCAGCCGCGGUAAUACGUAUGGUGCAAGCGUUAUCCGGAUUUACUGGGUGUAAAGGGAGCGCAGGCGGCACGGCAAGCCUGAUGUGAAAGCCCGCGGGCCAACCGCGGGACUGCAGUGGGAACUACCGGGCUGGAGUGCCGGAGAGGGAGGCGGAAUUCCUGGUGUAGCGGUGAAAUGCGUAGAUAUUAGGAGGAACACCAGUGGCGAAGGCGGCCUACUGGACGGUGACUGACGCUGAGGCUCGAAAGCGUGGGGAGCAAACAGGAUUAGAUACCCUUGUAGUC
RNAcentral lists this ribosomal RNA (442 nucleotides) under uncultured bacterium. RNAcentral's name for it is "partial 16S ribosomal RNA". It matches the Rfam family "Bacterial small subunit ribosomal RNA", at positions 338 to 795 of the family's 1533-position model. The record is from RNAcentral.